GCUUGUUGUCUUAUCAGAGUUCCAAAUUAGUGAGGUGGCUGGCCAAGAGUUCCGAUUGUGGGUUUAGACUGUCCUUGUCAUCCUCUUCUGAGAGUUGCAGCACAAAUGCUGUGACUAUUGAUUUUGAUGGUGGUUUUUGUUUUCACUUAUGAAACAAGCAUGCAGUUAUUAAAUUUUAUGUUUAGAGGUAAAGAAUAAUUUCACUUAGCAUGUCUAGAUAUUCAGUUUAGGAUUGCUGUAAUAUUAUU
Molecule: unclassified non-coding RNA, 248 nt
Filed under: Hevea brasiliensis (rubber tree)
Lineage: Eukaryota; Viridiplantae; Streptophyta; Magnoliopsida; Malpighiales; Euphorbiaceae
Source: RNAcentral